RNAcentral lists this RNase P RNA (440 nucleotides) under Candidatus Yonathbacteria bacterium RIFCSPLOWO2_01_FULL_47_33b. RNAcentral describes it as "RNase P RNA component class A". It matches the Rfam family "Bacterial RNase P class A". From Rfam's summary of the family: Ribonuclease P (RNase P) is a ubiquitous endoribonuclease, found in archaea, bacteria and eukarya as well as chloroplasts and mitochondria. The record is from RNAcentral. Lineage: Bacteria; Candidatus Yonathiibacteriota.
CACCUGUAUCAGAUGGUCGCUCCCGAGCAAUCGGGGGAGGAAAGUCCGAACACUCCCGAGUUUUAUUUAUAAUUCCCGGAGCAGGGUAGCGGGUAACGCCCGUCGCGUGUAAACGUAGAGGUGCGAGCAGAGACGCCCCGAGCGAAAGCAGAGGGCACCCCAUGCGGGUGAGCUCUUGUAGUAAUACGAGAGGUGAAACGGCUAAAUCCUUACUUGAGUGCAAGGCCGUGUCGCGUGCGUAGCACGCAGUCCAUAAAGUUAAAAGUCCAAGGUCCUAAAGUAAAUGCAUUCCUGUAUUCACUUUCGACUUUACACUUUCGACUUGUGACUUGCGCGCUGCGCGCGCGAAGUGCCGCUCGAGCGGUGAGGUAACUCAUCGCCUAGAUAAAUGAUCGUCACCCUUUGGGGUACAGAAUUCGGCUUAUCGAUAUAGGUAUAUG